This 482-nucleotide ribosomal RNA is filed under the name uncultured bacterium. RNAcentral describes it as "bacterial SSU rRNA". It matches the Rfam family "Bacterial small subunit ribosomal RNA", at positions 29 to 506 of the family's 1533-position model. The record is from RNAcentral.
UUGAACGCUGGCGGAAUGCUUUACACAUGCAAGUCGAACGGCAGCACGGGGGCAACCCUGGUGGCGAGUGGCGAACGGGUGAGUAAUGUAUCGGAACGUGCCCAGUCGUGGGGGAUAACUAUCCGAAAGGAUAGCUAAUACCGCAUACGUCCUGAGGGAGAAAGCGGGGGAUCGCAAGACCUCGCGCGACAGGAGCGGCCGAUAUCGGAUUAGCUAGUUGGUGAGGUAAAGGCUCACCAAGGCGACGAUCCGUAGCGGGUCUGAGAGGACGACCCGCCACACUGGAACUGAGACACGGUCCAGACUCCUACGGGAGGCAGCAGUGGGGAAUUUUGGACAAUGGGGGCAACCCUGAUCCAGCCAUUCCGCGUGAGUGAAGAAGGCCUUCGGGUUGUAAAGCUCUUUCAGCAGGAACGAAACGGUGGCCCCUAAUACGGGCCACUAAUGACGGUACCUGAAGAAGAAGCACCGGCUAACUACGU